Molecule: ribosomal RNA, 291 nt
Filed under: uncultured bacterium
Lineage: Bacteria
Description: partial 16S ribosomal RNA
Rfam family: Bacterial small subunit ribosomal RNA
Source: RNAcentral
CGCGAACGCUGGCGGCAUGGCUAAAACAUGCAAGUCGAACGCGAACGCACCUUCGGGUGUUAUUAGAGUGGCGAAAGGGCGAGGAAUAUGUUCCUACAUACCCCCAGGUCAGGGAUAGCCCAGGGAAACUUGGAGUAAUACCUGAUGUGGUCUCCGGAUCAAAGCCUUCGGGCGCCAGGGGAGUGGGGAACAUCCUAUCAGCUUGUUGGUGAGGUAAAGGCUCACCAAGGCUUAGACGGGUAGCGGGUGUGAGAGCAUGACCCGCCGCAUCGGGACUGAGACACUGCCCGG